This 498-nucleotide ribosomal RNA is filed under the name uncultured bacterium. RNAcentral's name for it is "bacterial SSU rRNA". It matches the Rfam family "Bacterial small subunit ribosomal RNA", at positions 30 to 504 of the family's 1533-position model. The record is from RNAcentral.
CGAACGCUGGCGGCGUGCUUAACACAUGCAAGUCGAACGAGAAAAUUUCCUUCGGGAAGUGAGUAAAGUGGCGCACGGGUCCGGAACACGUGGGUAAUCUACCCUCGGGUGGGGGACAACCCGUCGAAAGAUGGGCUAAUACCCCGUAAGACCACAGAAUCCUUGGAUUCAGGGGUAAAAGGUGGCCUCUAUUUAUAAGCCAUCACCUGAGGAUGAGCCGGCGCACCAUUAGCUUGUUGGUGAGGUAAAGGCUCACCAAGGCCGAGAUGGUUAGCUGGUCUGAGAGGACGACCAGCGACACUGGAACUGAGACACGGUCCAGACUCCUACGGGAGGCAGCAGUGGGGAAUAUUGGACAAUGGGCGAAAGCCUGAUCCAGCAACGCCGCGUGAGUGAUGAAGGCCCUCGGGUCGUAAAGCUCUGUCAGAUGGAACGAAACCGGAUGACCUAAUACGUCAUCCCUUGACGGUACCAUCAAAGGAAGCACCGGCUAACUCU